AGGAAAACGCUGACGGUUAUUCACAUGCGAUCAUCGUGGUGGGAGCACUAUAUAGGGUGAUAAGUUAUAGUUGAAAAUUUAAGAAAAAUGUCUGAACAAGCAGGACCAUCUAUCAGGAAUGUUUUGUAUCUUGAAGAAGAUGAAAUAGCAAGAUUGUUUUUUUCGUAUAUGGGGAUUUUGAUGGAAAAGAGGCAAUCCGAUCCUAUGCUAUUUGAUUAUACACAGACGCACCUUUGGGAUCCGAUUGAAGAGAGUGUAGAAAUUGGCAUUGAUAAUGCUUCAGUCUCUGUUCCUGAAGAAGGUACAUCUAUAGAUGUGGAUGAGAGAUUGGGCAACACUGACUGGUGUGUUUGCGGCAACUGUCAAGCUAUGCCAACCCACACUGAAUCAAUUUGCUGUCGUGAAGUUGAGAAUAUUAAUUCCAAAAUUCAAGAUGGUUUAAGCUGUAUUAUAGAUGAUCCGUAUGGUUCAACAUCACUAAGCAGCAGAGAACAUCUUGUGCAAGUAUAUUGGAUUUUGGCAAGUUAAAAAAUGACAGGGAUGUAUGGAAGAUAUCCUAUUGAGCUUUCACAGUUUUUGCUCAUCAUUACCAUCCUGUGUGGUUUCACAGAUAAGGAAUGCAUUUCCAGAACCUGAUGGCUUGUAUAUAGGAUUUUACCCAGCAGAAGAAGGACCUGCAAUUGAUAUGUUAUACGAUUAAAAAGAUAAUGCUAAGAUAUUGACAUUCUGUUUGA
Bombina bombina (fire-bellied toad) is the source of this 734-nucleotide long non-coding RNA. RefSeq lists it as uncharacterized. The transcript has 4 exons. The record is from RefSeq and is a predicted model, not a curated record. Lineage: Eukaryota; Metazoa; Chordata; Amphibia; Anura; Bombinatoridae.